GGCCCACCCUGCCUCCCCGGCGGGACUCCCGCUGUCCGCAGCCCACCCGGUCCCUCCCCUACCCACAACCCUUCUCCCGCGGGGGGAGCCUCCGCGGAGGCAGGCGCGGAGCACCCGGCCUGCCCGCAGCCUUGCCGGGCACAGCGCAGGCCACUUGACGCCCAGCGCGGGGUCCCAGUCGGAAAGCACAAGGAGGUUGGAGAAGACUCCUAAACUUCCAGGGACCCGUCAAAGCGUUCUUUCUGCUGAAACACUGCUUCCCCUGGGGCGGAAAGUUUGAGGAUGGCAGAGACAUCCUGCGAUCUCUUUCCCAAGACGGUAACAAAUGCAGCCGGCGGAGCCAGUCCCGCUGCGGCGCGGCUCGCCCUUAUUUCGAUGUGCUAAUUGCAAAUCUCGAAACAUGGCACUGUAACCCUAUCAAGGGGCUUAGGCACAGCGGUGUAAAAACUGUCCUGAAACGAGCCCUAACUUUCCGAAGGACGAAGCAGAUUUACUCUUUGAGCCACUCACGAAGAAGCCCUUCGAGAACGAACCGCACCCGUGCGUGGCAAUCUGCUCCGUCCCGUCCAUCACGGCUGGCCAGGUACGGUUUCACGGCAUCCCCAAGAUCUCCACUAUUUUUGAGGUCCUUUCCUAAGCUGGACUUAAAAAAAAGAACUUGCUUCCGCAGAUUUGUUCCCUUUGAAAUUGUAAAUUGGAGUCGCAAUUGCGAACUCGCCUCAAACGUAAACGCGUUUGGUGGAUCAGCCCGGCAUUCGUCUAAGCUUAUUUUAAAGCCGAUUAUUUUAUCAUUUAACGCACCGGCAGAUCCUUUUGAAGGUGGAAACGAAAUGAAUAAAACCUGACGUACAGA
This is a non-coding RNA of Phalacrocorax carbo (great cormorant), 853 nucleotides long. The record is from RefSeq and is a predicted model, not a curated record. NCBI's taxonomy places the organism in Eukaryota, Metazoa, Chordata, Aves, Suliformes, Phalacrocoracidae.